Molecule: long non-coding RNA, 1668 nt
Organism: Taeniopygia guttata (zebra finch)
Lineage: Eukaryota; Metazoa; Chordata; Aves; Passeriformes; Estrildidae
Source: Ensembl
CCAUCUACAGAUACACCUGAAACAGGCAGCUGAGCAAGGCUGACCAGAUGCCCACCAGAUCCCUCUUCCACACUGCCUGGUGUCGUGCAGAUGGUGCAUCUCCCCCACUUCAUUCACCUCGCAGGUACAGCAGCCACGGGAUUGGGAGUGGGAGUUCCAAUCCACCAUCUUUCAGCCUGUCAACCUCCCAGGACCCCUCCAGCUCCUUGGAGACCUCUCUCCAGACAGGUCCAAAUUCUCCCUUUCCUCCAAAGUCCCCUGCUCUUCCGUGUGUUCCUCUGCUUUUCUUUAGCAUCCUUCAUCCUUCUCUCACUUCCGAAGCUCCAGCUCCACACCACCAGCCUCUCCUUGCCCGCACACUCCUCCCAGCUACUAUGGUUACCUCUGGACACUAUCACAGUCCAGCAGGUCAGACCUGGGUUCGCUGGGAGAGUUUCCAGCCCUUUUCUCCUCUGACAGCUGUGGAUGGCAAUGGCUGUCCCUGCUCUGCUCCACCAGGACAGGACCUGGCCAGCUGUGCCCACCACCUGAACCACUCUGGGGUGGAAUGCAAGAGGUCAGAGCUAGCUUAUUCUAUUAUAUCUGAUUAUAUUAGCCUGCCAGGUUAAUAGCAAAGUGUGCUCCAGAGAUAACCCAGGAGACUGGUCAUCAGCAGAGCCUCUGACCCAGUCAUCCCUAGGGAUGUCAUCUCUGGAUGUGAUCAAACACCAGGGGGACUCACACAGUACCCACCUGCAUCCCAGUAUGUGGUGUGUGAGCUUUGCAAGCAGGACACUGCAUGGUGAAGUCUGGUAAUUUUCAUGGUCUCAUGUUGCCACCUUCAGAUCUGCCAGCUUCUGAGCCCUCAGGAAGGCUGCCAAAGGUCUGCAAUGCCCUCUGAACCCAAGACACACAUGGCACCUAAAGCAGAACAUUUCACUGUGUAUGGACAUGUUCCCUUUCUGCUGCUAAAGCCCCAAAGAGAAGGGGCAGCCUGAUAUAAACUUAUAAAAACCUUGUUGCCUGUUUGUCUUGCAGAAGAUACACACCAGCCCAUAUUCUACAGACCACUUUAAAUCUGGGAAGAUGACCGUGGAGAGGCUACCCUGACUGACAGCUUGCUUUGGGGUCCUGGAGAAUCCACCUUCUCACUGCCCAGGGUGCUUUGGAGAAGGUUAUGUUCAACCUUAAAUUCACUCCCUAUGAGCUUCUUGGUGGUGCAAUUCCAGCUUUUCACCUCUACGUGAUCCCAGGUGACAACUCAGUGGAAAUAAGACAGAAGCCCUGACACAGGGUGCCCAGAAAAGCUGUGUCUACCCCAUCCCUGGAAGUAUCCAAGGCCAGGUCAGAUGGCACUUGGAGCCACCUGGCCUAGUGGAAGAUAUCACAGCUGAUGGCAGGGGUGUGGACUAGAUGACCUUUAAAAGUCCUUUCCAACACAAACCAUUCUAUGAUUCUGUGAUUUCUUUUGCUGCUGAAGGACAGUCAGGUUUACCAGCACCCAAAUCCUGACCUUUUAAUCCAGAAUCCACAGUGCAAAGCAGCAAUAAGUCCUCUGAACCAUCCAGUCUCAGCCCUGCCCUGCAUGGCUGACUCAGAUGCCAGCAGAGGACAGCCAGUGUCACACCUGCUGAGAAGUUACUAGAAGAAGAGACCUUGGUUCACAAUCCAGUGCUGAUUGAUGCCUUA